GGUCACUUCCUCCACAACCCCAGAGUCAUCUCAUAACAAGUCAGCCUGCCUUAACAGUUUCCAUGUCACACAAACAGCUUGAGAGAGGCUGUGCAACUCACCCACAGCAGCCGCGAUCUGGGCCUCCUCCUAUGUUCCCCUGUUCAGACCCCUGCUCCAUGAACUGGGCGGACCCAUGUCCACUAAAGUGCUGAGGAAGUGACAGCGUGUGAUUUCUGAGGCUAGAUCAUAAAGGGCACAGCAGUUCUCACCUCACUCUUCUGCCUGGGUUACUGCAGAGUAAGCCAGCUACCAGUAAGCCACCCCAGCAACCCUUUGGAGAGGCAUGCGUGGAGAGCAGCCAAGGCCCUGGUGGUCCCCGGCCUCCUUGCCGUGUGAGUGAACCGUGCUGGAAGUGGGUUUUCUGGCUCCAGACCUCAGACACUGCAGCCUGUAUGGCGUCUUCCCUGAGACCUCAUAUGACCUCAAACUCAUACACUGGGUCUGUGGAAGGGAGCAGAUAACCUCUCUGUUUCUAGUUCUUAGACUAAGAGGAACUGGACACCAGGAGCCUCAUACCAGGACUGCCCAGCCGAGCCACUCGAUUCCUGACCCACAUGGCCCUUGAGAUGACAAGUGAUUGCUGCUUAAAGUCACUGAGUUCUGGAAUAAUUUACAUCAUGGCAAUAGGUAACUAAUGCAGAUUCUGGUACCUGGAAAAGGAGUGCUGACAUCAAACAGCUCUAUAGAUGUGGGCGUGGCCUCAGAACUGGCCACAGGCAGGAGCCAGAAGGACUCUGUGGAAAGCGUGAGUGUCUAAGG
RNAcentral lists this long non-coding RNA (801 nucleotides) under Homo sapiens (human). Its description in RNAcentral is "non-protein coding lnc-ZNF362-1:4". The record is from RNAcentral. Lineage: Eukaryota; Metazoa; Chordata; Mammalia; Primates; Hominidae.